Molecule: ribosomal RNA, 459 nt
Filed under: uncultured bacterium
Lineage: Bacteria
Description: partial 16S ribosomal RNA
Rfam family: Bacterial small subunit ribosomal RNA
Source: RNAcentral
CCUACGGGCGGCAGCAGUGAGGAAUAUUGGUCAAUGGGCGCGAGCCUGAACCAGCCAAGCCGCGUGAGGGAAGACGGUCCUAUGGAUUGUAAACCUCUUUUGUCGGGGAGCAAAAGACGCCACGCGUGGCGUUCCGAGAGUACUCGACGAACAAGCAUCGGCUAACUCCGUGCCAGCAGCCGCGGUAAUACGGAGGAUGCGAGCGUUAUCCGGAUUUAUUGGGUUAAAGGGGUGCGCAGGGGGAAGAAUAAGUCAGCGGUAAAAUUGAGGGGCUCAACCUCUUCGAGCCGUUGAAACUGGUUUUCUUGAGUGAGCGAGAAGUAUGCGGAAUGCGUGGUGUAGCGGUGAAAUGCAUAGAUAUCACGCAGAACUCCGAUGGCGAAGGCAGCAUACCGGCGCUCAACUGACGCUCAUGCACGAAAGUGUGGGUAUCGAACAGGAUUAGAUACCCGGGUAGUC